RNAcentral lists this ribosomal RNA (450 nucleotides) under uncultured bacterium. RNAcentral describes it as "partial 16S ribosomal RNA". It matches the Rfam family "Bacterial small subunit ribosomal RNA", at positions 354 to 796 of the family's 1533-position model. The record is from RNAcentral.
GUGGGGAAUAUUGGACAAUGGGCGCAAGCCUGAUCCAGCAAUGCCGCGUGCAGGAAGAAGGCCUUCGGGUUGUAAACUGCUUUUGUACGGAACGAAACGGUCCUGGUUAAUACCUGGGGCUAAUGACGGUACCGUAAGAAUAAGCACCGGCUAACUACGUGCCAGCAGCCGCGGUAAUACGUAGGGUGCGAGCGUUAAUCGGAAUUACUGGGCGUAAAGCGUGCGCAGGCGGUGCUGUAAGACAGGCGUGAAAUCCCCGGGCUCAACCUGGGAAUUGCGCUUGUGACUGCAGUGCUGGAGUACGGCAGAGGGGGAUGGAAUUCCGCGUGUAGCAGUGAAAUGCGUAGAUAUGCGGAGGAACACCGAUGGCGAAGGCAGUCCCCUGGGCCUGUACUGACGCUCAUGCACGAAAGCGUGGGGAGCAAACAGGAUUAGAUACCCGAGUAGUCC